GGAGACUGCCGGUGAUAAACCGGAGGAAGGUGGGGAUGACGUCAAGUCAUCAUGGCCCUUACGGCCAGGGCUACACACGUGCUACAAUGGCGCAUACAAAGAGAAGCGACCUCGCGAGAGCAAGCGGACCUCAUAAAUGCGUCGUAGUCCGGAUCGGAGUCUGCAACUCGACUCCGUGAAGUCGGAAUCGCUAGUAAUCGUAGAUCAGAAUGCUACGGUGAAUACGUUCCCGGGCCUUGUACACACCGCCCGUCACACCAUGGGAGUGGGUUGCAAAAGAAGUAGGUAGCUUAACCUUCGGGAGGGCGCUUACCACUUUGUGAUUCAUGACUGGGGUGAAGUCGUAACAAGGUAACCAAGGGCGAAUUCUG
This 371-nucleotide ribosomal RNA is filed under the name uncultured Erwinia sp. RNAcentral's name for it is "bacterial SSU rRNA". It matches the Rfam family "Bacterial small subunit ribosomal RNA", at positions 1144 to 1515 of the family's 1533-position model. Lineage: Bacteria; Pseudomonadati; Pseudomonadota; Gammaproteobacteria; Enterobacterales; Erwiniaceae. The record is from RNAcentral.